This 342-nucleotide long non-coding RNA is filed under the name Capsella rubella. RNAcentral's name for it is "long non-coding RNA (CRUB_LNC002154)". Lineage: Eukaryota; Viridiplantae; Streptophyta; Magnoliopsida; Brassicales; Brassicaceae. The record is from RNAcentral.
GGCGCGUCAGAAGCUAGAGGAGGUUAGCGUGUGUGUAGCAUGCUCCCUACUCUAUUAUAAUGUAAAAGCUAUUAUUUGUUUUGUGCAAAUCAAGUUAGUGGUAGAUGGGUAACUUUAUGUCUCAGGUGGAGAGAGACUUAAUUUUUUUUUUUUCCAGACCAAAAGUUUUGUUUCCAAUUUAUCUGGGUAUGAAAAUUUAAUAAGCCCUAUAAAAUAUUUAUAUUACCGGUUUAUAUAAAUACUCAAUUUAACGGAUAAUAUUUCCAAUUUAUUUGGGUAUGAAAAUUUAAUAAGCCCUAUAAAAGAUUUAUAUUACCGGUUUAUAUAAAUACUCAAUUUAAA